AGUGAACGCUGGCGGUAGGCCUAACACAUGCAAGUCGAACGGCAGCACAGUAAGAGCUUGCUCUUACGGGUGGCGAGUGGCGGACGGGUGAGGAAUACAUCGGAAUCUACUUUUUCGUGGGGGAUAACGUAGGGAAACUUACGCUAAUACCGCAUACGACCUACGGGUGAAAGCAGGGGAUCUUCGGACCUUGCGCGAUUGAAUGAGCCGAUGUCGGAUUAGCUAGUUGGCGGGGUAAAGGCCCACCAAGGCGACGAUCCGUAGCUGGUCUGAGAGGAUGAUCAGCCACACUAGAACUGAGACACGGUCCAGACUCCUACGGGAGGCAGCAGUGGGGAAUAUUGGACAAUGGGCGCAAGCCUGAUCCAGCCAUACCGCGUGGGUGAAGAAGGCCUUCGGGUUGUAAAGCCCUUUUGUUGGGAAAGAAAAGCAGCAGGUUAAGACCCCGCUGUUCUGACGGUACCCAAAGAAUAAGCACCGGCUAACUUCGU
This 491-nucleotide ribosomal RNA is filed under the name uncultured bacterium. Its description in RNAcentral is "partial 16S ribosomal RNA". It matches the Rfam family "Bacterial small subunit ribosomal RNA", at positions 29 to 506 of the family's 1533-position model. The record is from RNAcentral.